GCCAGGAUCGCCUAGUCCGGUAGGGCGGUGGUCUCGAAAACCACUGGGGUCUCCCCACGGGGGUUCGAAUCCCUCUCCUGGCGCCA
RNAcentral lists this transfer RNA (86 nucleotides) under Marine Group III euryarchaeote CG-Bathy2. RNAcentral describes it as "tRNA-Ser". It matches the Rfam family "tRNA". Rfam says of the family: Transfer RNA (tRNA) molecules are approximately 80 nucleotides in length. Their secondary structure includes four short double-helical elements and three loops (D, anti-codon, and T loops). Lineage: Archaea; Methanobacteriati; Thermoplasmatota; Thermoplasmata; Candidatus Thermoprofundales. RNAcentral also lists the same sequence under 4 other names. The record is from RNAcentral.